GACCUCAGUGGGCUGCAGUGUUACCAUACAAUACGAUAUUUGCUUCUCCUGAAGACUUAUACUGCCAUUAAUUCUUAUAAAGCACACAGGUACUCUGGUCCUGAAUUUAAUUUCCUCAGAAGCCCAAGGAAAAACUCAGCUUUAAAGCAGACAAGGAAACACCAGGAAGGCCUGUUGCUAGAAACAGGAAGCAUCUUCAUGAAGUAGGUCAGACAGCAUUCCAUGGACAUAAGCCUUUUUGAGAGGUUUAGGCAACGGUGUUACACAACAAGGGAACAUGGCUGAAAACUGAAUACUGCCUAUUAAUGAAAACCAUCUGAAAAGCUACUUUGAAGAAUGGAGUAGAGACUUUGCUAUGUUGCUGAUUCCUAAGAAUGAAGAAAUACAGCUCUUUAACUGGUCCUGAAUUUGCCUUAAACAAAAAUAGCUAUUAAAGCCAUGAGAAUAAAUUUCUGGUAUUAGCGGCCUGAGAUUCGUUA
This is a long non-coding RNA of Struthio camelus australis, 479 nucleotides long. The record is from Ensembl. Lineage: Eukaryota; Metazoa; Chordata; Aves; Struthioniformes; Struthionidae.